UGGGGAAUAUUGGACAAUGGGGGCAACCCUGAUCCAGCGAUGCCGCGUGGGUGAAGAAGGCCUUCGGGUUGUAAAGCCCUUUAGGUUGGGAAGAAGGAUGUUAUCGGAUAAUGGUAGCAUUUUGACGGUACCGACAGAAUAAGCACCGGCAAACUCUGUGCCAGCAGCCGCGGUAAUACAGAGGGUGCAAGCGUUAAUCGGAAUUACUGGGCGUAAAGGGCGCGUAGGCGGUUAUGUGAGUGUGAUGUGAAAGCCCCGGGCUUAACCUGGGAAGUGCAUCGCAAACGACAUGACUGGAGUAUAUGAGAGGGUGGUGGAAUUUCCGGUGUAGCGGUGAAAUGCGUAGAGAUCGGAAGGAACGUCAAUGGCGAAGGCAGCCACCUGGCAUAAUACUGACGCUGAGGCGCGAGAGCGUGGGGAGCGAACAGGAUUAGAUACCCCCGUAGUCCCUGAGCGGGCUGGCAAGGCGCAU
This 472-nucleotide ribosomal RNA is filed under the name uncultured bacterium. RNAcentral's name for it is "bacterial SSU rRNA". It matches the Rfam family "Bacterial small subunit ribosomal RNA", at positions 355 to 825 of the family's 1533-position model. The record is from RNAcentral.